UUCAAAUACUGAAUUAGGAUUUCGGAUUCUCGGUACUGAAAUUAGGGUUUCCAGAACCGAUUUCUAGGGUUUCUUAUAAAUCGUAAUAAUUUAAUAACUGAACUUUGACGUUCUAAUAAUAUUAGGGUUUGACACAGAUAUAAUUUAUCUGGUCAACACUUGACCCUUAACCACAUUCUGUACACAUAAUACCGUAAUCACAGAAUAUAUACACACAUACCCUUAAUCCUGAAUAAUUCACUAAAAGAAAUUUUAAAUCCUCAAAAUUCCUUUCUGAAAACAUCAAACACAUACACUUAUUUUCUGUCUAGGUCUAUUAUUUGACCUUAAACCAAUCAUUUAAGAUUUUAAUAAUUUUCUAAUUUCUCGGGUUG
This 374-nucleotide long non-coding RNA is filed under the name Panax ginseng (ginseng). RNAcentral describes it as "long non-coding RNA (PGIN_LNC004959)". Lineage: Eukaryota; Viridiplantae; Streptophyta; Magnoliopsida; Apiales; Araliaceae. The record is from RNAcentral.